CCUACGGGUGGCUGCAGUCGAGAAUCAUUCACAAUGGGGGAAACCCUGAUGGUGCGACGCCGCGUGGGUGAAUGAAGGUCUUCGUAUUGUAAACUCCUGUCAUGUGGGAGCAAGUUAAAAAGGUAGCACCACAAGAGGAAGAGACGGCUAACUCGGUGCCAGCAGCCGCGGUAAUACAGAGGUCUCAAGCGUUGUUCGUAAUCACUGGGUGUAAAGCGUGCGUAGGCUGUGUCGUAAGUCGUGUGUGAAAGGCGCGGGCUCCACCCGCGGACGGCAUAUGAUACUGCGAGACUAGAGUAAUGGAGGGGGAACCGGAAUUCUCGGUGUAGCAGUGAAAUGCGUAGAUA
This 347-nucleotide ribosomal RNA is filed under the name uncultured bacterium. RNAcentral describes it as "partial 16S ribosomal RNA". It matches the Rfam family "Bacterial small subunit ribosomal RNA", at positions 338 to 696 of the family's 1533-position model. The record is from RNAcentral.